Non-coding RNA from Bactrocera oleae (olive fruit fly), 916 nucleotides. NCBI's taxonomy places the organism in Eukaryota, Metazoa, Arthropoda, Insecta, Diptera, Tephritidae. The record is from RefSeq and is a predicted model, not a curated record.
UAAACCAAUUUUUUAUUAAAAUAAAACAAAAUCUAAUAUCAAUAAAUUGCUGGAUAACGGAGCCCGCAUCCUUUAUCCUCGCCAGGCCCCAAUUUUUUCUCUACAAACUUGCAUACAUAUCUAUAUAUAAUUACGCUAUUAAAAAAGUUUGUGUUCCCUUUUCGACUGUAUUGCCGUUGACAUACAUAUAUGGAUAAAAUUUAUACCGUUGGAAAAGAAAAGACGUGCACAACUCUAUUUUUUAGCAUGUACGUCAACGGGAACACAGGUAAAAAUACGUUGGGACAAAUUUAGCGACUACAACAACCACAAGCGCGGUGGCGUGGAAAUAACCUUGGAUAUCAUUCGUUUUAUUUUUGGUCAAUUUUAUGAUGGUGGUUGAAUCGACAAUAUCAACACAACAACGAAACAGGAAGUGAUUGAAUCUUUCCCGUUUUCUUUGAUUGCGGUUGGUUUGUUUCAACUUUUAACGAAAAUUGAAUUGAAACGUUAAUUUUAUUUUGGUUAAUUUGUUGGCUUCAUUAAAGAAUAAACGCGAUCAAUUGAAAAUUGAAUGCGAUUUAUUGAAUAAUAACUGCGAUCAAUUGAAGAAUCAACGAGAUAAAUUGCGUCAGAAUGUUUAAUUUUUUCAGAAAAAGGUGUUUUUCUUUAUUGAAAAGAUUUCAAAAUUUAGCAUUGGUUCGGGACUUCGUCGGUGCUUGCGUGGCCACAUAGGACGACAAAUUCAAAUUGGCCGAUUUGAUUCGAUUGUUCAUUCAGGGAAGAAUCAAGCCAAAAGCAGAACAGAACAAAUGAUUUUGCACGAAAUGAAUUAUAAAUUUUAAUUUUUUUAAAUUGUUUUCCACAACUUUCUUUAGAUAUUAUUUACAUUUUUUCAAAUUUUUUAAUAAAAUUUAAAUGCUAUUAACACUCACAA